GCAAGUCGAACGAGAAAUCCCGAGCUUGCUUGGGAGAGUAAAGUGGCGCUCGGGUGAGUAACGCGUGGGUAACCUACCUUUUAAUCUGGAAUAACCAGCCGAAAGGCUGACUAAUACCGGAUACGGUUUUUAGGACUUAGGUUCUCUAAAGUAAAGGUGACCUAUUCAUGAAAGUUGCCGUUCAUAGAUGGGCCCGCGUAACAUUAGCUAGUGGGUGGGGUAAUGGCCUACCAAGGCGACGAUGGUUAGCUGGUCUGAGAGGAUGAGC
This 268-nucleotide ribosomal RNA is filed under the name uncultured bacterium. RNAcentral's name for it is "partial 16S ribosomal RNA". It matches the Rfam family "Bacterial small subunit ribosomal RNA", at positions 57 to 305 of the family's 1533-position model. The record is from RNAcentral.